This 441-nucleotide long non-coding RNA is filed under the name Setaria italica (foxtail millet). RNAcentral's name for it is "long non-coding RNA (SITA_LNC002840)". The record is from RNAcentral. Lineage: Eukaryota; Viridiplantae; Streptophyta; Magnoliopsida; Poales; Poaceae.
UACACAGCUACAAGACUACGCCUUUAACUUAACAGUUACUGGGAUAAUCUGAUAAGUGGGUACAAGAUUUUGCUAGUAGAAGAAGCCAAGGACCUUCCCUCCCACAUUCUUUCUCCUUGCCUCUUCGUGGUCCAUGAUGCCAGCAGAGGUGGUGAGAACGAUGUAGCCGAACUGCAAAACACAAAUUAUAAGGUUCUUAGGAAACAUGGUUUGAAGGAUUUCAAGCUGCAUAGUUUAGUGAUGCUUGCACAAAAAGCUAUUAGUCACUUCCAAUGAACUAACCUGACGUGAGGGAAGCAGCCUUGCUGUCCAGGACUCAAUUUCCUUCACACCAACAUCAAAGCGAGGGCUGAUCACACCACAUUUGUUGAGCCUUCCAUUGAGUUCAACUACUAUCUUACCAGAACGAUGAUCAUCAACAAACUCAAAUUCACCAAUGUA